AGAGUUUGAUCCUGGCUCAGGACGAACGCUGGCGGCGUGCCUAAUACAUGCAAGUCGAGCGAGCGGAACUAACAGAUUUACUUCGGUAAUGACGUUAGGAAAGCGAGCGGCGGAUGGGUGAGUAACACGUGGGGAACCUGCCCCAUAGUCUGGGAUACCACUUGGAAACAGGUGCUAAUACCGGAUAAGAAAGCAGAUCGCAUGAUCGGCUUUUAAAAGGCGGCGUAAGCUGUCGCUAUGGGAUGGCCCCGCGGUGCAUUAGCUAGUUGGUAAGGUAAAGGCUUACCAAGGCGAUGAUGCAUAGCCGAGUUGAGAGACUGAUCGGCCACAUUGGGACUGAGACACGGCCCAAACUCCUACGGGAGGCAGCAGUAGGGAAUCUUCCACAAUGGACGCAAGUCUGAUGGAGCAACGCCGCGUGAGUGAAGAAGGUUUUCGGAUCGUAAAGCUCUGUUGUUGGUGAAGAAGGAUAGAGGUAGUAACUGGCCUUUAUUUGACGGUAAUCAACCAGAAAGUCACGGCUAACUACGUGCCAGCAGCCGCGGUAAUACGUAGGUGGCAAGCGUUGUCCGGAUUUAUUGGGCGUAAAGCGAGCGCAGGCGGAAGAAUAAGUCUGAUGUGAAAGCCCUCGGCUUAACCGAGGAACUGCAUCGGAAACUGUUUUUCUUGAGUGCAGAAGAGGAGAGUGGAACUCCAUGUGUAGCGGUGGAAUGCGUAGAUAUAUGGAAGAACACCAGUGGCGAAGGCGGCUCUCUGGUCUGCAACUGACGCUGAGGCUCGAAAGCAUGGGUAGCGAACAGGAUUAGAUACCCUGGUAGUCC
This 821-nucleotide ribosomal RNA is filed under the name uncultured bacterium. RNAcentral's name for it is "bacterial SSU rRNA". It matches the Rfam family "Bacterial small subunit ribosomal RNA", at positions 8 to 796 of the family's 1533-position model. The record is from RNAcentral.